This 256-nucleotide unclassified non-coding RNA is filed under the name uncultured fungus. RNAcentral describes it as "sequence contains ITS2". Lineage: Eukaryota; Fungi. The record is from RNAcentral.
AACGCACAUUGCGCCCAUUAGUAUUCUAGUGGGCAUGCCUGUCCGAGCGUCAUUUCAACCCUCAGACACUUUGUGUCUGGCGUUGGGGCUUCUAUAGCGAUUGCUGUAGGCCCUGAAAAUCAGUGGCGGGCCCGCCGAGAGCCUAAACGCAGUAGUUAUUUUCUCGUUUUUGGCUUCUUGGUGGUUGCCCAGCCGGUAAGCUUCCAAUUUUCAGAAGUUUGACCUCGGAUCAGGUAGGAUUACCCGCUGAACUUAA